This 253-nucleotide ribosomal RNA is filed under the name uncultured bacterium. RNAcentral's name for it is "partial 16S ribosomal RNA". It matches the Rfam family "Bacterial small subunit ribosomal RNA", at positions 524 to 776 of the family's 1533-position model. The record is from RNAcentral.
UACAGAGGUCUCAAGCGUUGUCCGGAAUUACUGGGCUUAAAGGGUGCGUAGGCGGCGCGACAAGUUGGGUGUGAAAUCCCUCGGCUCAACCUCGAAACUGCACUUGAUACUGCCUUGCUAGAGUACUGGAGAGGAGAUUGGAAUUUACGGUGUAGCAGUGAAAUGCGUAGAUAUCGUAAGGAAGACCAGUGGCGAAGGCGAAUCUCUGGACAGUUACUGACACUGAGGCACGAAGGCCAGGGGAGCAAACGGG